AGAGGUAGCUUGCUACUGAUCUUAGCGGCGGACGGGUGAGUAAUGCUUAGGAAUCUGCCUAUUAGUGGGGGACAACAUCUCGAAAGGGAUGCUAAUACCGCAUACGUCCUACGGGAGAAAGCAGGGGAUCUUCGGACCUUGCGCUAAUAGAUGAGCCUAAGUCGGAUUAGCUAGUUGGUGGGGUAAAGGCCUACCAAGGCGACGAUCUGUAGCGGGUCUGAGAGGAUGAUCCGCCACACUGGGACUGAGACACGGCCCAGACUCCUACGGGAGGCAGCAGUGGGGAAUAUUGGACAAUGGGGGGAACCCUGAUCCAGCCAUGCCGCGUGUGUGAAGAAGGCCUUAUGGUUGUAAAGCACUUUAAGCGAGGAGGAGGCUACUUUAGAUAAUACCUAGAGAUAGUGGACGUUACUCGCAGAAUAAGCACCGGCUAACUCUGUGCCAGCAGCCGCGGUAAUACAGAGGGUGCAAGCGUUAAUCGGAUUUACUGGGCGUAAAGCGCGCGUAGGCGGCUAAUUAAGUCAAAUGUGAAAUCCCCGAGCUUAACUUGGGAAUUGCAUUCGAUACUGGUUAGCUAGAGUGUGGGAGAGGAUGGUAGAAUUCCAGGUGUAGCGGUGAAAUGCGUAGAGAUCUGGAGGAAUACCGAUGGCGAAGGCAGCCAUCUGGCCUAACACUGACGCUGAGGUGCGAAAGCAUGGGGAGCAAACAGGAUUAGAUACCCUGGUAGUCCAUGCCGUAAACGAUGUCUACUAGCCGUUGGGGCC
This 764-nucleotide ribosomal RNA is filed under the name Acinetobacter sp. RNAcentral describes it as "bacterial SSU rRNA". It matches the Rfam family "Bacterial small subunit ribosomal RNA", at positions 71 to 830 of the family's 1533-position model. Lineage: Bacteria; Pseudomonadati; Pseudomonadota; Gammaproteobacteria; Moraxellales; Moraxellaceae. The record is from RNAcentral.